RNAcentral lists this ribosomal RNA (165 nucleotides) under Triticum aestivum (bread wheat). RNAcentral describes it as "partial small subunit ribosomal RNA". Lineage: Eukaryota; Viridiplantae; Streptophyta; Magnoliopsida; Poales; Poaceae. The record is from RNAcentral.
CUGAUCAUCCUCACAUCCUGGCUCCUGUGGAAGGCUCGCAAUGCAUGCGUCUUCGACAUGGAGCAGUCGUCGAUCCUGCGGGUGCUCAAUAGCAUUCGCACAUAGCCGAGGACUUGGGCAACUGCUGGGGCUACCGGGUUAGAAAACAUGAUCCCUGAGACAUAG